CCUACGGGGGGCAGCAGUGGGGAAUAUUGCGCAAUGGGCGAAAGCCUGACGCAGCGACGCCGCGUGAGGGAUGAAGGUCUUCGGAUCGUAAACCUCUGUCAGCAGGGAAGAACGGUCACUGUGCUAAUCAGCAGUGAAUUGACGGUACCUGCAAAGGAAGCACCGGCUAACUCCGUGCAAGCAGCCGCGGUAAUACGGAGGGGGCGAGCGUUAGUCGGAAUUACUGGGCGUAAAGCGCUCGUAGGCGGUAUGUCAAGUCAAGGGUGAAAUCCUCGGGCUCAACGUGGGAACUGCGUUUGAAACUGGCAAACUGGAGUGUGUGAGAGGAUAGUGGAAGUCCGGGUGUAGGGGUGAAAUCCGUAGAUAUCUGGAGGAACAUCAGUGGCGAAGGCGACUAUCUGGCACAUAACUGACGCUGAGGCUCGAAAGCGUGGGGAGCAAACAGGAUUAGAUACCCCAGUAGUC
RNAcentral lists this ribosomal RNA (465 nucleotides) under uncultured bacterium. RNAcentral's name for it is "partial 16S ribosomal RNA". It matches the Rfam family "Bacterial small subunit ribosomal RNA", at positions 338 to 795 of the family's 1533-position model. The record is from RNAcentral.